UACGUAGGGGGCGAGCGUUGUCCGGAUUUAUUGGGCGUAAAGAGCUCGUAGGCGGUUUGGUAAGUCGGAUGUGAAAUCUCCAGGCUCAACCUGGAGGGGUCAUUCGAUACUGCCAUGACUAGAGUUCGGUAGGGGUGUGUGGAAUUCCUGGUGGAGCGGUGAAAUGCGCAGAUAUCAGGAGGAACACCCGUAGCGAAGGCGGCACACUGGGCCGAUACUGACGCUGAGGAGCGAAAGCGUGGGGAGCGAACAGG
Molecule: ribosomal RNA, 254 nt
Filed under: uncultured bacterium
Lineage: Bacteria
Description: partial 16S ribosomal RNA
Rfam family: Bacterial small subunit ribosomal RNA
Source: RNAcentral